ACCAUGCAAGUCGAACGGCAGCACAGAGGAGCUUGCUCCUUGGGUGGCGAGUGGCGGACGGGUGAGGAAUACAUCGGAAUCUACUCUGUCGUGGGGGAUAACGUAGGGAAACUUACGCUAAUACCGCAUACGACCUACGGGUGAAAGCAGGGGAUCUUCGGACCUUGCGCGAUUGAAUGAGCCGAUGUCGGAUUAGCUAGUUGGCGGGGUAAAGGCCCACCAAGGCGACGAUCCGUAGCUGGUCUGAGAGGAUGAUCAGCCACACUGGAACUGAGACACGGUCCAGACUCCUACGGGAGGCAGCAGUGGGGAAUAUUGGACAAUGGGCGCAAGCCUGAUCCAGCCAUACCGCGUGGGUGAAGAAGGCCUUCGGGUUGUAAAGCCCUUUUGUUGGGAAAGAAAUCCAGCUGGCUAAUACCCGGUUGGGAUGACGGUACCCAAAGAAUAAGCACCGGCUAACUUCGUGCCAGCAGCCGCGGUAAUACGAAGGGUGCAAGCGUUACUCGGAAUUACUGGGCGUAAAGCGUGCGUAGGUGGUCGUUUAA
This 545-nucleotide ribosomal RNA is filed under the name Stenotrophomonas hibiscicola. Its description in RNAcentral is "bacterial SSU rRNA". It matches the Rfam family "Bacterial small subunit ribosomal RNA", at positions 53 to 586 of the family's 1533-position model. Lineage: Bacteria; Pseudomonadati; Pseudomonadota; Gammaproteobacteria; Lysobacterales; Lysobacteraceae. The record is from RNAcentral.